RNAcentral lists this unclassified non-coding RNA (866 nucleotides) under Hevea brasiliensis (rubber tree). The record is from RNAcentral. Lineage: Eukaryota; Viridiplantae; Streptophyta; Magnoliopsida; Malpighiales; Euphorbiaceae.
GGCUUAAACCAAAGCAGAAUUAACGAUUAAUUAUAGUACAACUCUGGAGUGAACACAGAGCGGGAUUCAUUACCACUACCCAAGAUUUCAGAUCUCAUUAGCAUUUAAAUCUCGAGAAACCCAUUUCACACAAAAAGCCUAAAGCUACAUACAGCUUCUCUAAUAUGGGCUCUCCCCUACAAUGUUCCCAGGGGGAUUAUAGAAACACACGGUUAAGCUAGCUUGCUCCUUUACACAAGAAGCUUGUGCACACCCCAACUCCAGGGACUUCUUCCACACUACCUGAGUGUAAACACCGCACUGGUGAUUUGGUACACAGGAGUUGUCAGUAUGGUUGUAGUAAAUCUUCUCUUCCACCCAGUGAUCAACAACCAUGCGAGGAGUCACAGCCAUUCCACUAGCCCAUAGUUGGUUUCCACCGUAAACGCUGUUGCUGAGGUUUGCAAAUUGACAACCCAUUUUGUUUCUUUGGUACCUGACUAGUCUGCUAGUAGCGUUGGCUAGCAUCUCGCUCCAUUUGAGAGGGCCAACCCCGACUGCGGCUCUUGCCUGGUUGUGUGCUUCUAGGAAGUCUCUGGCUGCGGUUGGCAUGGGGCUGGGGAUGGGGCCUGAUGGCUGUGCUGCACCCUGGAAUAUGGAUAGAGCAAUUAGAAGAGGAAGAAGAAGCAAAGCAGGGUCCAUUUCUUUGACUCUUGAUUUCUGAAAGUGAAACAAAUUAGACUUGUAGUUGACAGGUCAUUCAUUUAUAGGCAGGCUCCAACGUAGAGAAUUAUUGGGUACAUUCAAUUUAGAAAUGGUGACAUAAUGUACUGAAUUAGCAGUAAUAAAACCAUUUAACUUUGGAAUCUGAGCUUAAAGGGCAAUAA